GAUGAACGCUGGCGGCGCGCCUAAUACAUGCAAGUCGAGCGAACAGACGAGGAGCUUGCUCCUCUGACGUUAGCGGCGGACGGGUGAGUAACACGUGGAUAACCUACCUAUAAGACUGGGAUAACUUCGGGAAACCGGAGCUAAUACCGGAUAAUAUAUUGAACCGCAUGGUUCAAUAGUGAAAGACGGUUUUGCUGUCACUUAUAGAUGGAUCCGCGCCGCAUUAGUUAGUUGGUAAGGUAACGGCUUACCAAGGCAACGAUGCGUAGCCGACCUGAGAGGGUGAUCGGCCACACUGGAACUGAGACACGGUCCAGACUCCUACGGGAGGCAGCAGUAGGGAAUCUUCCGCAAUGGGCGAAAGCCUGACGGAGCAACGCCGCGUGAGUGAUGAAGGUCUUCGGAUCGUAAAACUCUGUUAUUAGGGAAGAACAAAUGUGUAAGUAACUAUGCACGUCUUGACGGUACCUAAUCAGAAAGCCACGGCUAACUACGUG
This 497-nucleotide ribosomal RNA is filed under the name uncultured bacterium. RNAcentral describes it as "partial 16S ribosomal RNA". It matches the Rfam family "Bacterial small subunit ribosomal RNA", at positions 28 to 507 of the family's 1533-position model. The record is from RNAcentral.